GUAUUAGAAGUCUAGUCUAAACUGUAUUAGGAGUAGGCUAGGUUAUGUGUAUUAUAUAUAGGGCUCAUUGUAUCAUGUUUACAUAUCAAUUAUAUAUCCUUCUCCCGUGCCUUCUCACACUAGGAAAAAAUGUUUUACUUUGAAACAUUCAAACCACAAUCAACACUUUGAAACACUAUUUUUUCAGCUAAAAUUGCAGCAGUAAGCAACAUUGUCAAUGGCAGCAGCUACUACUUAAUAGAGAGGCUUCUUCUUCCUCGACCUCCGCGGUGGAUAACAAUGGUAUUGAAAACUGGAAUACAUCAGAUAGUCGAGGAUGAGAAAGAGAUCACCAGCAAGG
Molecule: long non-coding RNA, 340 nt
Filed under: Nicotiana benthamiana
Lineage: Eukaryota; Viridiplantae; Streptophyta; Magnoliopsida; Solanales; Solanaceae
Description: long non-coding RNA (NBEN_LNC040321)
Source: RNAcentral